UACGUAGGGGGCAAGCGUUGUCCGGAUUUCUUGGGCGUAAAGAGCGUGUAGGCGGUCAGGUAGGUCCGUUGUGAAAACUCGAGGCUCAACCUCGAGACGCCGAUGGAAACCAUCUGACUAGAGUCCGGAAGAGGAGAGUGGAAUUCCUGGUGUAGCGGUGGAAUGCGCAGAUAUCAGGAAGAACACCCGUGGCGAAGGCGGCUCUCUGGGACGGUACUGACGCUGAGACGCGAAAGCGUGGGGAGCGAACAGG
This 253-nucleotide ribosomal RNA is filed under the name uncultured bacterium. RNAcentral describes it as "partial 16S ribosomal RNA". It matches the Rfam family "Bacterial small subunit ribosomal RNA", at positions 524 to 776 of the family's 1533-position model. The record is from RNAcentral.